UGAUCAGCCAUGCCGCGUGCAGGAGACUGCCCUCUGGGUUGUAAACUGCUUUUAUAUGGGAAGAAAGACUCCAGCUGGAGGGAUUGGAGGGACCUGAAGAAUAAACGACCGGUUAAUUCCUGGCCACCACCCCGGGAAUUACUGAGGGGCCAGCGGUAUCCCGAAUUAUUGGGUUUUAAGGGGGCCUAAGGGGGCUGUUUAAUCCGUGGGUGAAAGUAGCCACUUAACUGGUUUACUUGCCAUUGAUACUGACAGGCUUGAGUUAUCAUAAGGUAGGCGGAAUUUCUGGUGUAGCGGUGAAAUGCAUAGAUAUCACAUAGAACACCUAUUGCGAAGGCAGCUUGCUGCACAUAAACUGACGCUGAUGCACGAAAGCGUGGGGAGCGAACAGGAUUAGAUACCCUGGUAGUCCACGCCGUAAACGAUGAUUACUAGUUGUUGGCGAUAUACAGUCAGUGACCAAGGGAAACCGAUAAGUAAUCCACCUGGGGAGUACGCCGGCAACGGUGAAACUCAAAGGAAUUGACGG
RNAcentral lists this ribosomal RNA (529 nucleotides) under uncultured marine bacterium. RNAcentral's name for it is "bacterial SSU rRNA". It matches the Rfam family "Bacterial small subunit ribosomal RNA", at positions 384 to 916 of the family's 1533-position model. The record is from RNAcentral.